UCGGUGUCAUUCACUCUCUAAUAUGUUAGAAGAUCAUUUUACAUCCUUGUCCCUGUUUCCGAUAUUUGCUAUUUUUCUCUUCUUAUGUACAUUCAUAGUUUAGUUAGCAAGAUGAGACCCUGAUGUGCAGCCCAUUUGGUGCUUCAACUCUUGGAAAUUUCAUUAGACUGUCUCCCCCAACUUCUUCCCAUCUGUAUCUAGUUACAAAGUAGUGAAGGAAACUAGAAAUUUCUGCUAUUCCUAGUUCCUUUCCAG
Molecule: unclassified non-coding RNA, 255 nt
Filed under: Hevea brasiliensis (rubber tree)
Lineage: Eukaryota; Viridiplantae; Streptophyta; Magnoliopsida; Malpighiales; Euphorbiaceae
Source: RNAcentral